CGGAUUGAUGGGAGCUUGCUCCCAUCAGUCAGCGGCGGACGGGUGAGUAACACGUGGGUAACCUGCCUGUAAGACUGGGAUAACUCCGGGAAACCGGGGCUAAUACCGGAUAACUCAUUUCCUCGCAUGAGGAAAUGUUGAAAGGUGGCUUUUAGCUAUCACUUACAGAUGGACCCGCGGCGCAUUAGCUAGUUGGUGAGGUAAUGGCUCACCAAGGCGACGAUGCGUAGCCGACCUGAGAGGGUGAUCGGCCACACUGGGACUGAGACACGGCCCAGACUCCUACGGGAGGCAGCAGUAGGGAAUCUUCCGCAAUGGACGAAAGUCUGACGGAGCAACGCCGCGUGAGUGAUGAAGGUUUUCGGAUCGUAAAGCUCUGUUGUUAGGGAAGAACAAGUACCGUUCGAAUAGGGCGGUACCUUGACGGUACCUAACCAGAAAGCCACGGCUAACUACGUGCCAGCAGCCGCGGUAAUACGUAGGUGGCAAGCGUUGUCCGGAAUUAUUGGGCGUAAAGCGCGCGCAGGUGGUUCCUUAAGUCUGAUGUGAAAGCCCACGGCUCAACCGUGGAGGGUCAUUGGAAACUGGGGAACUUGAGUGCAGAAGAGGAAAGUGGAAUUCCAGUGUAGCGGUGAAAUGCGUAGAUAUUUGGAGGAACACCAGUGGCGAAGGCGACUUUCUGGUCUGUAACUGA
This 694-nucleotide ribosomal RNA is filed under the name bacterium VI.7. Its description in RNAcentral is "bacterial SSU rRNA". It matches the Rfam family "Bacterial small subunit ribosomal RNA", at positions 67 to 743 of the family's 1533-position model. The record is from RNAcentral.